AGCUCAGUUGGGUUAGAGCAUCCCGAUUUGCAAUCGGGAGUGGUCCGCGGUUCGAGCCCGUUC
Molecule: transfer RNA, 63 nt
Filed under: Lacibacter sp.
Lineage: Bacteria; Pseudomonadati; Bacteroidota; Chitinophagia; Chitinophagales; Chitinophagaceae
Description: tRNA-Ala
Source: RNAcentral